AUAUUAUCCAACAACAAUUCCCAUAAUUUAAAAAGACCUACCUACUAAAGUUGUUGUUGAUCCCAAAUUCCCAAGUGGGGUAAAGGUCUGUAUUACUUUAAAUGCUCGGGCUGGCAUCUUAAGUGAAGCCAUAUACAACCACACAGCUACAUUUAUCUAAAGUGUGGCUAGUCUCUGAACACCUCGAACAUUUUGCUUUCCAUCUUGCCUUCUUCUACGCUUCACACACUAUCAAGUAUGAGUAACCUUCCGUCCAGGCCAGAUGUAUUUACACGGUUAACGCGACGAUUUGUGAAGCAGAAUCGCCGGCGGCGACAGAUGGCUCCGUUAGGUGAAGUUGGGAACUAUCUUGGUGCCCAGGAUGCAAUACCUUUUGGGAAUGUGCCCGUUUUGCCGGUGGAUAACCCGGUUCUCCUAAGUCAUCAUCUCGGCCAGUCCGAGGGGGUUUUGAGCAGGGGCUCAGUCACGGACCUGUCUCACUUAAAGGGGAUCCUCAGGCGAAGACAGCUCUACUGCAGAACUGGUUUUCACUUAGAGAUUUUUCCUAACGGGACUAUCCAGGGAACAAGACAAGAUCACAGCCGAUUCGGUAUUCUGGAAUUCAUUAGUAUAGCAGUGAGUCUGGUCAGCAUUCGUGGUGUCGACAGCGGACUCUACCUUGGAAUGAAUGAGAAAGGAGAGCUAUAUGGAUCGGAGAAACUAACCGCAGAGUGUGUUUUCCGAGAGCAGUUUGAAGAAAACUGGUAUAACACCUACUCAUCGAAUCUAUAUAAGCAUGUGGACACUGGAAGACGGUACUUUGUGGCAUUAAACAAAGAUGGAACCCCAAGGGAAGGGACUAGGACUAAAAGGCAUCAAAAAUUCACUCAUUUUUUACCAAGACCGGUGGACCCUGACAAAGUACCUGAAUUAUACAAGGAUAUUUUAAGCCAAAGUUGAUGAAGAGACAAUCGUAUAGUUCGGACCACUGAAAAAGCAACCACUAUAAUGGGUUCUAGUGGUGGGUUCUGAACGAUUAGCUGUGUCGUCAUGCCAGCACUACUGUUGCCAUAGUUUACCGCAUGCAUUGUGUAUGGAGGCUUGGAUGGGACACGCUGAUUUUGCGCUGCACUUACAGUUUGUCCUCUCAGAGAUGCGGCAAGCACUGCAAUGGCUGCUGGAAAACAACUGCUUGGAAAUAAAGCAAUCAUCUGCUAGGGAAAACAACAUUCAUGUCAUAGUUCUAUAACACAUUGGCGCACCACAGUCAUAAAUUAGAAGCUUCAGCCAGACCCUGCAAUGCACACUUUGAUGGGAUCAACUGAACAGUGAUGACUUCUAUCGUGGGGAGUGUAGCAGCCUCCUGUUUAAUGCACAAUGUGCUAUACCAUGUCCUCAUCAAAGUCAAAACUGGAAUGUUUUGCAGUAAUUCCACGAGCUCCAAUUUAUACUUAACUUCACUUGAAAGCUGUUGAUGGCAAGUGAUGGAAGUUGUCUAAAUCACACUUUGAAAACGGCAAGUACAUUUACAACUGAGCGCUUUAAGGCUACCUGCUAACUUUUGCAAGCUGAACUGGCAUGUCGGUGGGCGUUCCUAUUGAAACUGAGUUUUUACGUUAUAUCCUGUAACACAACAUUUGUGAGGCUUUGCAUUAAGAGUUUAGAGUUUAGAGUUUAUGGAAACAGGUCCUUCGGCCCAUCGAGUCCAUGCUGACCAUCGAUCACCCGUUCACCCUAGUUCUCUGUUCUCUCGCUUUUGCGUCCUUUACACUAGGGGAAAUUUAUGGAAGCCAAUUAACCUACAAACCUGCCUGUCUUUGGAAUGUGGGAGCAAACCGGAGCCAUUGGAGGAAACCCUCGCGACCACGGGGAGAACACACAAACUCUGCACGGACAGCAUCGGAGGUCAGGAUCGAACCUGGGCUCUGGCGCUGUGAUGCAGCAGCCAUACCGCUGGACCACUGUGCCCGCCCCCUACUUCAAAAUGGCAUCAAUGAACACUCAUUAAGUUUGCAUCUCAAGAGUUUAAUACUGAAGUAGUGGAAUUUCACCAAUAAACUGUCGUAUAUAACAACUGAAGGCUAUUUAAAAAUGUUUUUUGACGCAUUGGUAUGAUUACAGAUACAAAUAUUAUAUGUUUGCACAAUUGUCUUGGUGGUCGCAGAAUAAUGCCACAAAAAAAACAGAUCUCUCUAAAGUUGUGAGAUAGUGCCCUGACCAAUGCAAUGGUCUGAGGAUGAGCUUACGUUCCUAAUACAUUAACUGAGCAAAAGUUAUGUUUGUGAUUAGUUCUGUCAAGGGUGAACUUUUCAACAUUCUCCCAACUCUAAUUUAAAAUGCAUGAGCAUUUUUUCAGCACAUCUUUCCAGCACAGGACGGUCGAUGAAAUUGUGAUGAAAUGUGAACCUAUAAUUUUUCUGCCAUUCUAAGUAAAAAAAUGCCUAGUUCAAAAAACAAAUUCCCCUUUGGUAGUGACAAAGAGGAUACACAAUUUCAAGAAAAGCACCUGAUGUUUGUGUUAAAAUGAAUAUGCAUGGCAAGUAGACAUAUAGAUGUGAAAAUCACUUUAAAACAUUAGUCAAGAAUUACGUUCUUUCAGCAGAAUGUAUAUGUAUGGGAGUUGUGGGCAAUUGGAUUUUGCUGUUUGGAUUCCCACAAGUUAACAUCUAUGGUGUCCAUCGAGCUAUGCAGAAAUGGCAUGCUUUUACAUUUUCCUCUGAGUUUUAUGAGCAAAACAUUGAUUAAAAUGGGCUGGAGCUCAAAAGCAGCAGUUUUUUUAUGGACAGAUGGAUGAUUUCACAGUCGUCAACCAUAAUAAGUCAUCCCAGUGAAAAUAAAGGCAAUAAUACACACAUAUGAAUCAUCGCCAAAUGGUCUGCGCCUCAUUGCAGGUCAAGACUACAACCAUCUCAUCACAUUAGUCAUAUGUGUUAUUUCUCAGCUGGUCUGUCGUACAGCUAGCUCCCCCACAGAGGCAAGAAUUAAAGUGAGGCUUCUGCCGAGGGCUGUAAGGUCUGGAGUUGGAGGAUUCCGAUGACCUUUUAAGACCUUUGCAUUGACACAUAAUCUGAUGAGAUGGUUGGCAGAAGCGUGAAGCAGUCAGCAGCUCCCCAGGGCUCAGUUCCCCCCUCCCCCCCCCCCCCCCCCCCCCCCCAACUCAACAGCAUCAGAUGUGAGAAGCUUAUGAAAAGAAGGAUUCCACAAGGGAGACCUGAAGUGCCAAUCCAUAGUCUCGAAUGGACCCGAGGUUGACUUCUGCUGUCAAGCUUCUGAAAGAAAGAUAAAAAAUGAGAUCAGGUGUUACUGCUAGUUUCUGUUUGUGGCUGAUAAAGAGAGGUGAGUUCGCAAACUGUGCAAAUGAAUAAUGCAGUUUGUGUAAAGGAAAGCUUUGUAUUGACCGAAUGUGUACCUCUUAACCUUCAGACUUUUAUCACAUGAAGAAUUCAGCCUGCUGUCAAUCCGUGAUGUACUGCCUUGGACCUGAUCUCUGAAUCCUUUCAUUUGAUAUCAUCCCUGGGAGGAAUCUUUAUAAUAUAUGUGGUGUGAAAUUGCCUACCUGAAAGCUGCCAGUCUUGGUCUCAGUAUAACAGGCCCAGAUAUCCCAGUGUCCUUGGAGCUAAUCACUGUAAGUUAUUAUUCUGAUGGGACAUAAUUGUCAGAGAAAAAUAUAGAUCACACAUACUUUCCAUCAUCUGCACAUCAAACAGGGGUAUAAAAAGGACACAACAUCACAGUGGGGUAUGAGGUAUAAAUUAUCUUUGGGUCUACAUAUACGCUUCUCAGACUGUAAACUUAGUAUAAGGUUGUUGGACUGCCUCUGCCUACAUGUCCUGUUACAAUUUCCUGAUUAACGAGAAUGGAUUUGAAUGUGUUCCCUCGUAUGGAAUUAAACCUCAUUUUAACAACCCCACAAAUAAUUCUAUGUUGGUGCACUGCACUGUAUGUUAGUUUAAAAAAAAAAUGAGAUUGACUUACUUUGUUGAUUUAAGUUGAAUCCAGAAAAUUGUUAUUAAAAUGGUGAAAUUAUUCCGUUAUAAAAUUUGACAAAAGAAGCCAGCCAGCAGUGAACUGCAUAUAUAUAUACUAAUAAUUUUAUUUGACAGUUUCUGAUUUGAUUAUUUUAAUCAUAAUUUUAAUGUUUAGUUUAGUUUAGAUGCAGCGUGGAAACAGGCCCUUUAGUUCACCGAGUCCACGCAGACUGUACACUGUACAAUCCUGUACACUGACAUUAUCCUACACUAGGAAAAAUUUACAAUUUUACCAAAGCCAAUUAAGCUACAAACCUGUACAUCUAUGGAG
This is an RNA transcript of Amblyraja radiata (thorny skate), 4278 nucleotides long. It is a transcript of the gene named fibroblast growth factor 9, with no coding region annotated. The transcript has 5 exons. NCBI's taxonomy places the organism in Eukaryota, Metazoa, Chordata, Chondrichthyes, Rajiformes, Rajidae. The record is from RefSeq and is a predicted model, not a curated record.